Molecule: transfer RNA, 87 nt
Filed under: candidate division WWE3 bacterium RIFOXYA1_FULL_40_11
Lineage: Bacteria; candidate division WWE3
Also listed under: 8 other names
Description: tRNA-Ser
Rfam family: tRNA
About the family: Transfer RNA (tRNA) molecules are approximately 80 nucleotides in length. Their secondary structure includes four short double-helical elements and three loops (D, anti-codon, and T loops).
Source: RNAcentral
GGAGGGAUGGCCGAGUGGUUUAUGGCGCUGGUCUUGAAAACCAGUGGGAGCAAUCCCGCGUGGGUUCGAAUCCCACUCCCUCCGCCA